Molecule: non-coding RNA, 793 nt
Filed under: Omocestus petraeus
Lineage: Eukaryota; Metazoa; Arthropoda; Insecta; Orthoptera; Acrididae
Source: RNAcentral
UUAAAAGUUUUAUUCUUGCUUAUUUAUUCAUUUUUUCUUUGUAUUAUAUACAAGUUUUGUAAGACUAAAAGUUCUUUUUGUAGUGAUUUAAUUUAAUUAUCAAGUAAUUUUGGAAUUAGCAAUUGAUUUAGUAUUGGCAUAUUUCGUGCCAGCAGCCGCGGUUAUACGAUUAAUGCAAGUGAAUAUAUUUGGUUAAAACAGUUAUUUUUUGAUUUUAGGAUUAAUUUAUAAAUUUUUAAGGUGAAAUUUUAAAUUUUUUUGUGAUUCUUAUUAUGAUUCUGUGAAACUUAAAUAAUAAACUAGGAUUAGAUACCCUAUUAUUUUAAGUGUUAAUUUUAUUUACCAGGGUAGUAUUAGUUAGGAUCUUUAAACCCAAAGAAUUUGGCGGUAUCUCAUUCCAUUUAGAAGAAUCUACCCCAUAAUUGAUAAUACACGAUUAACUUUACUUAAUUUAUUUGUUUGUAUGUCUCCAUUAUCAGAAAAUCUUUUUGGAGCUAUAAUUUUCUUGAUUAUUAAUUAUAAAAUAUUUCAGGUCAAGGUAUUGCUUAUAAUUAAGAGGAGGUGGGUUACAAUAAAUUUUAGUUUAUUACAUAUUCGAUAGUGAAGUACUAUCAAUGAAGGUCGAUUUAAUAGUAAUGUAAUUUUUUAUUUAAUUGAUAUUGGCUCUGGGGUGUGUACACAUCGCCCAUCACUCUCAUUAUUGAUUAAUCUAUUUUAAUUUAAAGUUAGUUUCAAUUUAGAUGAAAUAAGUCAGAACAUAGUAGAUGUACUGGAAAGUGUAUCUAGAAAGGUU